This is a long non-coding RNA of Teleopsis dalmanni, 536 nucleotides long. RefSeq lists it as uncharacterized. NCBI's taxonomy places the organism in Eukaryota, Metazoa, Arthropoda, Insecta, Diptera, Diopsidae. The transcript has 3 exons. The record is from RefSeq and is a predicted model, not a curated record.
UAAAAAUUUAAGACUGGAAACCUAAAAUCUUUUAUAAAACCGCUGAAGCCGUAAACAAACUAAUUGCUAUGAACCACCCAGAACAGAGAGACAAACAUAGGGAACCUGAAAAUGUACCAAUAUAGGAUAAAAUAUCAUAAUGCCUAAGGACAAGGUGGAUGUAAAAAUAUGACGGAUUGAGGGAUAGAGAGAGUGAAAUUUAAAAAACAACUUAAGUUAAUGUAGACAAAUAUCUUUACAUAGAUAUAAACUAUUAAUGAAUAAAUAGUCGCAAGGACAUUUAAUUAAACAUGCUGCUUUCAAAACUGGAGUCAAAUUGAAAUCUUUCUAUUUUAUCAAUACAUUAAAUUAUUACACUCAUCAAUAGGAUAGAAUCGAUUAACUUGUAAGAAAUCAAUGUGAUAUAGCAAUGCUAUAGAUCGUGAAUUUCAUUAGCCCACGAAAAUCUGAAAGAUUUAUUAUAAGCGAUGCUGUCCAAAGAUAUUGGCGAUAAACUACAGAUUAUCAGCUUAUACCUGAAAGAUAUAUAUGCAUAC